UACGUAGGGGGCGAGCGUUGUCCGGAGUUACUGGGCGUAAAGGGCAUGCAGGCGGUCGGACGCGUUUCGGGUGACAGCGGGUGGCUUCACUACCCGAGUGGUCGAGAGACGGUUUGACUUGAGGACGCGAGAGGGACUCGGAAUUCCGGGUGGAGUGGUGAAAUGCGUAGAGAUCCGGAGGAACACCGAAGGCGAAGGCAGAGUCCUGGCGCGUGACUGACGCUGAGGUGCGAAAGCCAGGGGAGCGAACGGG
Molecule: ribosomal RNA, 253 nt
Filed under: uncultured bacterium
Lineage: Bacteria
Description: partial 16S ribosomal RNA
Rfam family: Bacterial small subunit ribosomal RNA
Source: RNAcentral